Pseudophryne corroboree (corroboree frog) is the source of this 1455-nucleotide long non-coding RNA. RefSeq lists it as uncharacterized. Lineage: Eukaryota; Metazoa; Chordata; Amphibia; Anura; Myobatrachidae. The transcript has 3 exons. The record is from RefSeq and is a predicted model, not a curated record.
AUGAUCGGAUCACCUCCUGAGUCCUGCAUCGCUGUACGGGUCACCCCCUCCCGCUGUGCCGCUGCUGGUCAGACUCUGUUGUGGGUGGCUGGCCACACAGCCCCCCCACCGUCAUGGUCAGUCUGUCUUCCUCGCGGUGUGACGUCAGUAUGUCACACCGCGGUCCCUUCCUUCCCGUCCGCCCUGCGCUGCCGCUGUUCUCUUGGCUCCCGCCCGAGCUCAGUUUCAUGUGUGCGGCGUGCCACUGCCCUGCCCUACCCCUGCCAUUUUCAGCAGCGCCUGCAGUCAGCACACACCACGCCAGCCAGGACUGGAGCCCCUAGGAACGCUGGAGGAGGAGGACACAGUGGUGCAGACAGCAGUAGCACGUAGGAAGGACGCCCUGGAGGACUCACCCUGGGAGAAGGAGUUGGCCGUGCACCCUGGGAGUGGACUUCACUGCGGGAAAACAGUGCUGGGUCACACCGAAGACCAGAAGAGGAGCUGAGACCUGCGCACCAGCUGAAGAGACGUGAGGGAGCGAGCCGCAGGACUGGGAGAGGACCAACGCCAGGGAGGAGCUGCCCACACCUGCGCCCGUCACUGGAGCAUCCAGAGCCGUCCGCGUAGAAUGGAGAAGACGCCUCCGAAGAGGAGACCAGCCAGUCGCAGGACCGGAAAGGUCAUCCAACCUUCAGCGGAUCGGGACCCUGCAGCAAGAGAGGAGACUAACCAGCAAUGGGAGCACCGGCAUCGCUGAGGACACCCGCUUACUGGAGCAAGGACCUGCAGAAGACCCCGGCUGGCUUAAAGAAGACAGCGCGAAACAGCGGGGGGGACGGUGCAGAUCGGGAUCCUGCAGCAGGAGAGAAGAUCCCCCUUCGGAGUGCAGCAGACCACACUGAAAAGGGUGCAACCCCGGUGCGGUGCUCUGCAUCCCGGGUGGUGCCAAAGACAUGGAGUAUCGAAGGUGGCAGAAGCGCCGCAACUCGGGGCCAGAGCAGGUAGACCACUGCUGCCCCUCAUGGAAUAAAUUGAAUGUGUUGAGUUUAUCGAUAUGGAUAAUGAUAAUGAUCAGUCGAGAGAAGAGAAGGAACAGCAAACGAAUACUGAACUACAAAUUUCACAAGGAAAACCUUUAUACUCAAAGUACAGAGACUUCUGCAAUGAUGGAUUCCAGCGGGGAUGAAUUCAUAUUGUGUGAGGAUGAUGUAAACACUGAGGAGCCAGUUCUUGUGCUGAAGUGAUUGGUUUGUAAAACUGUGCAUGUAUUUUUUUAUUUCCAACAUAAGGGUGGGUGUGAGCGCCCAAGGUCAAUUCCAACUUGCACAACUUUUCUGCCACUGCUGUGUGGCAAUGUUUCAUAGAUGUGCUAUAAACUGCCAUGUGUUUGUGCCUUUGGCCUAAACCUGAUGAAAACAAUAUUGUGAGUUGUGAGGUGAUCAAAAUUGAUUUGAAAUGGCUGGAAAUGAAUGU